UACAUAGGGUGCAAGCGUUGUCCGGAAUUACUGGGCGUAAAGAGCUCGUAGGGGGUUUGUCGCGUUGUUCGUGAAAACUCACAACUCAAUUGUGGGCGUGCGGGCGAUACGGGCAGACUGGAGUACUGCAGGGGAGACUGGAAUUCCUGGUGUAGCGGUGGAAUGCGCAGAUAUCAGGAGGAACACCGGUGGCGAAGGCGGGUCUCUGGGCAGUAACUGACGCUGAGGAGCGAAAGCGUGGGGAGCGAACAGG
RNAcentral lists this ribosomal RNA (253 nucleotides) under uncultured bacterium. RNAcentral's name for it is "partial 16S ribosomal RNA". It matches the Rfam family "Bacterial small subunit ribosomal RNA", at positions 524 to 776 of the family's 1533-position model. The record is from RNAcentral.